RNAcentral lists this ribosomal RNA (387 nucleotides) under uncultured bacterium. RNAcentral's name for it is "bacterial SSU rRNA". It matches the Rfam family "Bacterial small subunit ribosomal RNA", at positions 32 to 399 of the family's 1533-position model. The record is from RNAcentral.
AAUCAACGCUGGCGGUGUGCCUCAGACAUGCAAGUCGAACGCGAAAGUUUCCUUCGGGAGACAAGUAGAGUGGCGCACGGGUGAGUAACACGUAGGUAAUCUACCUUUGGAUGGGGAAUAACAACCGGAAACGGUUGCUAAUACCGCAUAGUGCAGCGGCACCUAAUGGUGACAGUUGUUAAAGCGGGGGAUCGAAAGACCUCGCGUCUGAGGAGGAGCCUGCGGCGGAUUAGCAGUUGGUAAGGUAAUGGCUUACCAAGGCUACGAUCCGUAACCGGCCUGAGAGGGCGGUCGGGUCACACUGACACUGACAUACGGGUCAGACUCCUACGGGAGGCAGCAGUCGGGAAUUUGGGCAAUGGGCGAAAGCCUGACCCAGCAACGCCG